AGACUGCAUCAGCUACUUCAGUCUGGGCCAGGCCAGGCCAGGCUGGGCCCUGGAGAUCUCUGAAGUGAAAACCCAAGAAGGCAGGCUUGCUCUGUCUGUCUGUCUGUCCACCUGCCUGCCUGCCUGUCUCUGGUAGUUACUCCUGCUUUCGAGGCUCCUGCAGAAACAGCUAGCAGGCUGUGGGAUGAGUUCACCACUGAGAACUUCUUGGCCUGGGCUGGAGAAAGGGUCUCCUCCAAGGAAGAGACAGGUGCUAAAAGAAACAGCGCGGUGGUAAGGAGAGCAGACACUUGUUGACUUCCAGCGGUGGAGGGGACAUUUCUGAUUACUUCCCCAUGAAAUUGCUGCGUCCAUUCUCCCACCAGCUCGGAGAGUCUGGGGUUA
RNAcentral lists this long non-coding RNA (384 nucleotides) under Mus pahari (shrew mouse). Its description in RNAcentral is "lncRNA (MGP_PahariEiJ_G0005394.1)". The record is from RNAcentral. Lineage: Eukaryota; Metazoa; Chordata; Mammalia; Rodentia; Muridae.